GUCAUCUUGCAGUUCAUAAGCAUGAUGAUUGGCUUUUCACACACAUAUGAGGUGUGCCUUCCUCAAACCUUGUUAUGCUGUUGGCACAUUACCCAUGAGAUG
Callithrix jacchus (white-tufted-ear marmoset) is the source of this 102-nucleotide small nucleolar RNA. The record is from Ensembl. NCBI's taxonomy places the organism in Eukaryota, Metazoa, Chordata, Mammalia, Primates, Cebidae.